UGGGGAAUAUUGCACAAUGGGCGCAAGACUGAUGCAGCCAUGCCGCGUGUGUGAAGAAGGCCUUCGGGUUGUAAAGCACUUUCAGCGGGGAGGAAGGCGUUAAGGUUAAUAACCUUGGCGAUUGACGUUACCCGCAGAAGAAGCACCGGCUAACUCCGUGCCAGCAGCCGCGGUAAUACGGAGGGUGCAAGCGUUAAUCGGAAUUACUGGGCGUAAAGCGCACGCAGGCGGUCUGUCAAGUCGGAUGUGAAAUCCCCGGGCUCAACCUGGGAACUGCAUUCGAAACUGGCAGGCUAGAGUCUUGUAGAGGGGGGUAGAAUUCCAGGUGUAGCGGUGAAAUGCGUAGAGAUCGGGAGGAAUACCGGUGGCGAAGGCGGCCCCCUGGACAAAGACUGACGCUCAGGUGCGAAAGCGUGGGGAGCAAACAGG
This 429-nucleotide ribosomal RNA is filed under the name Chloroflexota bacterium. Its description in RNAcentral is "Chloroflexi bacterium partial 16S ribosomal RNA". It matches the Rfam family "Bacterial small subunit ribosomal RNA", at positions 355 to 776 of the family's 1533-position model. The record is from RNAcentral. Lineage: Bacteria; Bacillati; Chloroflexota.